RNAcentral lists this small RNA (27 nucleotides) under Arabidopsis thaliana (thale cress). Its description in RNAcentral is "ATSL188910". Lineage: Eukaryota; Viridiplantae; Streptophyta; Magnoliopsida; Brassicales; Brassicaceae. The record is from RNAcentral.
GAAGAAGAAGAGGAAGAAGAAAGAAGU